UGCGAACUCCUACGGGAGGCAGCAGUGGGGAAUUUUGGACAAUGGGGGCAACCCUGAUCCAGCAAUGCCGCGUGAGUGAAGAAGGCAUUCGGGUUGUAAAGCUCUUUUGUCAGGGAAGAAACGGUAGUAGCUAAUAUCUAUUACUAAUGACGGUACCUGAAGAAUAAGCACCGGCUAACUACGUGCCAGCAGCCGCGGUAAUACGUAGGGUGCAAGCGUUAAUCGGAAUUACUGGGCGUAAAGCGUGCGCAGGCGGUUGAGUAAGUCAGAUGUGAAAUCCCCGGGCUCAACCUGGGAAUUGCAUUUGAGACUGCACGGCUAGAGUGGGUGAGAGGGGGGUUGAAUUCCACGUGUAGCAGUGAAAUGCGUAGAUAUGUGGAGGAAUACCGAUGGCGAAGGCAGCCCGCUGGGAUAACACUGACGCUCAUGCACGAAAGCGUGGGGAGCAAACAGGAUUAGAUACCCUAGUAGUCCAGAUG
Molecule: ribosomal RNA, 479 nt
Filed under: uncultured bacterium
Lineage: Bacteria
Description: bacterial SSU rRNA
Rfam family: Bacterial small subunit ribosomal RNA
Source: RNAcentral